Tetranychus urticae (two-spotted spider mite) is the source of this 2262-nucleotide non-coding RNA. Lineage: Eukaryota; Metazoa; Arthropoda; Arachnida; Trombidiformes; Tetranychidae. The record is from RefSeq and is a predicted model, not a curated record.
UUUCCAAGUGAAUUGAACAACAAACUGCAAAAUUUAAUCAACAACUUGCAUUGUUGUUCAAGGACAGAGUGAAAAGAUUUAUAAAUUGUUUAUCAUCAGUGAAAAGAAAAGGAUAACAAUGGUAAUGAAAGAUAGAUUUGCUAAUUGUGGAGAAACAAGGUUUUUAUUGAGGUAAAAUUGAGGAAAGGAUUGUGAUUAAAGUUGAUUUAGGAAAUAUGAUUGUUGACGGUUACCUGUUGAUGAUAAAUUGAUUGAUGGAUCUCAAGUUUUCAAGUCCAGAUGAGAGGACAGUUAAACCAGUUAGACCAUAAAAUAUUACAUUCACUUGUUCAUCUUGCGCGCUAUUAUCAUCCUAAACAUCCAAUUAUGUUCACGGAUGGUAACUAACAAGAAAAGUAUACUUCUGUUUUCUUGGUGCUUUUCUGGUAAACUUUAUCAAUCACUUUUUCUUACCUUUUUCUCACACCUUAAAUAUAUUUAUAAUGAUUGUACUCAACUCACCUUUAUCAUCAACAUGAUCAUCAUCAUGGUCAUGAAACAACAACAUGAAGAAGGAAAAUUGUUAAUAAUUAUACCAGGAACCUGAGUUAUAACUCAAUGCUACCAUAGAAGCUAUUUCUUAGCAUUAUUACCAGCCGAGCUUAACUUAAAAAAGGUAUUUCUUUUGACAAAUUAGGAGAUGGUGACAAGUUAAUCAGUGUUCAACAAGGAAAUAAAAUCAAGAGUCAACUUGAAUCAUAAGAUAAUGAUAAAAGAAGGAAAAAGAAAUUGAAUGAGAAUCAACAACAGCUGAUAAUGGACGUCUACACAUAAAUUCAAGUAUACAAGUAAUGACCGAUGUUUAUCCACUCAUUUCAUUGUAAACAAAAGUUAAACAAGCACUACAAUCAUAAUGGAUUUUGAUAAAGGGUAGCAUCAAGUGUAAACUGAUCCACCAAGAAUGGUCAGAACCAGAGUGAGGCCAAUCGGAAGUCAUAACACCAUCAAAAGCAAACGUGUAUCAAGUAAUAUAUAUAUAUUUAAUUGAUGGUUACAGAGCAAUAUAAUGGAAUACAGAUAUAAACUAUUUACCAGCAGGAGAGGAUGAAGAAGAAGAAAAAUAAGAUUCAUGUUCUUGAGCCAUUCAAUUUCCCAUGCUGAUGAAACAUGAGAUUCGGAGGGAACUUGUUAUUUCACUUUUUUUCUCCUGUUGUUGCGUUUUGCAUAAUAAUGAGAGAAACAGAAUAUCGUUCAUUUUCAAAGAAAUAAUAAUAACGUUUACCGUAAAUUCAAAAAAAGGAAAACUUAAAUUGGAUCCUUGGGCUUGUCUUGACUUUUACCUGUUUCUUUAUCAAAAUUUGGGCGGUGGUCAGUUUCUCCAUCAUCAUCUUCAUCUUCCUGUCAUUCCAUGCGUGAUUCAAUUCAUUUCAACUCAUUUCAUUCAAUUUACCAUAUCAUUUAUCCACCAAUAGUGCAACAACUCUUUAAGUUAACUUACCCGUCAGCUGUUCAUCAUUGUAUAAUUACAUAUUUGCUCUUUCAACUUGUUUUCAUUUUAUUUAGUUUAUAUCUUAUCAUAUUGUCAUUGACUUUAUUCAUCUCUAAUAUAUUUAUCAAUAUAUGAUAUUUAAUGUUAUAAUCAUAUUUCUUUUCAGAUCAUUCAUGUUAUUCAAAAGUCUAAUUGUCCUGUUUAUUUAAAGAUACUAUUCUCUACUUAUUUUCAAAGCAACAGGUUGAUGUUUAACUCAAUCGAACCCGAUGUCUGGAAACACUCCGAUAACAAUCCUGAAGCAAGUUCCAAUAGAAGGUUGAUAAGAAGAGAUAAAUUUAAGCAAGAAUUCGGAAAUUUUCACCAUAAUGUUAAAGUUAUUAUUCAAGCUCUUGAUAAACUUUUCCAUCAGAUAAUCACAACUAUGCACUAAAUUCAAACAUCAACAUUAUAUUGAUAGAUGAUUACACGUACCUACGGUUGGCUCGUAAAAAAUCAACUUAGUUUAUUUAUUUGAUUGUAUUCAAACUGAUUCUCAAGAAUAUGUUCCAAUUUAAUCCACAAAUUGGGAUUUAAAAACAAACAAAAAAUUAUUCACAUGCAAGAGUAACAUGUUUUCACUGUCGAUCUUUGUAAAACAUGAUAUUAACAAUCAAUUUAAUAGUCACACAUAAAUUAAAGAAUUUAGUUGUUUCCAAAAAAGCAUAAUCAUCAAGGAAUUUUGAGAAUUUUUUCCCCAAAACAGGCUUUCAUGAUGAUUAGAUCCUUUUUUUGAAGCUCCUUUGGCCAGAAAA